RNAcentral lists this ribosomal RNA (594 nucleotides) under uncultured Bacteroidota bacterium. RNAcentral describes it as "bacterial SSU rRNA". It matches the Rfam family "Bacterial small subunit ribosomal RNA", at positions 122 to 715 of the family's 1533-position model. Lineage: Bacteria; Pseudomonadati; Bacteroidota. The record is from RNAcentral.
CAACCUGCCGCUUACUCGGGGAUAGCCUUUCNAAAGAAAGAUUAAUACCCGAUGGUAUAAAGAGUUCGCAUGUUCUCUUUAUUAAAGAAUUUCGGUAAGCGAUGGGGAUGCGUUCCAUUANAUUGUUGGCGGGGUAACGGCCCACCAAGUCUACGAUGGAUAGGGGUUCUGAGAGGAAGGUCCCCCNCAUUGGAACUGANACACGGUCCAAACUCCUACGGGAGGCAGCAGUGAGGAAUAUUGGUCAAUGGACGAGAGUCUGAACCAGCCAAGUAGCGUGAAGGAUGACUGCCCUAUGGGUUGUAAACUUCUUUUAUAAGGGAAUAAAGUGAGGGACGUGUCCCUUUUUGUAUGUACCUUAUGAAUAAGGGUCGGCUAACUCCGUGCCANCAGCCGCGGUAAUACGGAGGAUCCNAGCGUUAUCCGGAUUUAUUGGGUUUAGAGGGAGCGUAGGUUGACAUAUAAGUCAGCUGUGAAAGUUUACGGCUCAACCGUGAAAUUGCAGUUGAUACUGUAUGUCUUGAGUGUACAAGAGGUGGGCGGAAUUCNUGGUGUAGCGGUGAAAUGCUUANAUAUCACNAAGAACUCCGAUUG